CCCUUAGAUGUUCUGGGCCGCACGCGCGCUACACUGAUGAAUGCAACGAGCUCUACCCUUGACCGAAAGGCCCGGGUAAACUUGUGAAACUUCAUCGUGAUGGGGAUAGAUUAUUGCAAUUAUUAAUCUUCAACGAGGAAUUCCUAGUAAGCGCGAGUCAUCAGCUCGCGUUGAUUACGUCCCUGCCCUUUGUACACAUCGCCCGUCGCUCCUACCGAUUGAAUGGUCCGGUGAAAUCUUCGGAUUGCUGACCAAGAUCCAGCAAUGGAGCUUGGUUGCGAGAAGUUGAUUAAACCUUAUUAUUUAGAGGAAGGAGAAGUCGUAACA
RNAcentral lists this ribosomal RNA (327 nucleotides) under uncultured eukaryote. RNAcentral describes it as "partial 18S ribosomal RNA". It matches the Rfam family "Eukaryotic small subunit ribosomal RNA", at positions 1470 to 1796 of the family's 1831-position model. The record is from RNAcentral.